AGAGUUUGAUCCUGGCUCAGAAUUAACGCUGGCAGAGUGCAUAACACAUGCAAGUCGAGCGAAACUAUCUGAGAUUACAUCAACUGGUAGUUUAGCGGCAGACGAGUGAGUAACACGUAGACAACCUGCCCUUCAAUGGCGGAUAACCAAUCGAAAGGUUGGCUAAUACGCCGUACUUUCCUUGAGAGGCAUCUCUCGAGGAAGAUAGGCCCGCAAGGGUCGUUGAAGGAGGGGUCUGCGUCCCAUCAGCUAGUUGGCGGUGUAAUAGACCACCAAGGCUACGACGGGUACCCGGCCUGAAAGGGCGGACGGGCACGAUGGCACUGAGACACGGGCCAUACUCCUACGGGAGGCAGCAGUGGGGAAUUUUGGACAAUGGGGGAAACCCUGAUCCAGCAACUCUGCGUGAGGGACGAAGGUCUUCGGAUUGUAAACCUCUUUUGCACGGGAAGAACACCCGCAAGGGUCUGACGGUACCGUGCGAAUAAGCCACGGCUAACUAUGUGCCAGCAGCCGCGGUAAUA
RNAcentral lists this ribosomal RNA (524 nucleotides) under bacterium enrichment culture clone DWBac3. Its description in RNAcentral is "bacterial SSU rRNA". It matches the Rfam family "Bacterial small subunit ribosomal RNA", at positions 8 to 525 of the family's 1533-position model. The record is from RNAcentral.